This is a long non-coding RNA of Anas platyrhynchos (mallard), 9207 nucleotides long. RefSeq lists it as uncharacterized. The record is from RefSeq and is a predicted model, not a curated record. Lineage: Eukaryota; Metazoa; Chordata; Aves; Anseriformes; Anatidae.
CGGAAAACAAAACACAAAAACAAACAGAACCACGCGCGACUGCUCCUACUUCGUUCAGGCUGCGGGAAACGGUGCCGGGACGAAAAGGGGCGGCUGGGACAGCCCGCUGCAGCUGCAGCCCAGCGCCGGGCCCAGAUCCCACAAUCAUCCAUCAUCUAGAGAAGAACUUUACAGCCUAAUUGUGAGUCAGCCCAGAACAUUUAAGUAUCCUUACUGAGAUGGGAAUUUGAAUGAGGAAAAACGGUCCAUUUCCAGGGGAGAUGAAUUGAAGACCCUGUCAUGUGUCACUGGUGGCAUCUCUGUGCUGGGUUACUGCUGCAUCUUCAACUGAGGGAAAGAAAAGAAUUUGGGUUAUCACCUGAUGCCUGCUGAACGUUCACGAAACCAGCCGGUCUCAGAGUUGGAAUGUUCCAAAUCCCCAUUUGGAGCUGAGUACGUAUGUUAUGGAGUCAGUUGUGACACCACUUUAUAGAGAACAGACAAUGAGUUUUGGAUCUUGUGAGUACCUUUCCUCCCUGUAAAGAAGAACCCUUCCCCCACUCUUUUGGAAACAUCUCAGUCUGUAUUGGAAACAGAGGAUGUAAUUUAUUUUUAUCGCUUUCCCUGUCAAACUGGCCAAGUGCCACAGGUUUCUGCUUUCAGAUGUAGCAAGAGGCAGAGAAAUCACAGUGCAGUGCCAUUUAUGUCAGUGGCUCCUCCUCUGUUUUCUUAUCUUAUUUUUGUGGCUACCUACUGAGUUAUCUUAUCACUCUUUAUAAUCCUGCAAAACUCUGCAACUUGACCCCUCCACAGAAAGAGCUGACCUGCUUAGACCUCCCUGCUCUCUACUCCUGCUCCCUUCCUUGCAGAGCAAGUUGCUCUGUCCUUUGUUACUUUACAGCUUCUUUCUUACUGCCUAUCUUACCCCCUCACUCCUUUUCCUAGCUCAUUACAUUACAUUUCCUAGCUGAAUGUGCACUCAGCUGUGUGGCCUCCUUGGAGUACGCUUAAUUUCUCACUGUCCAGCCCGCUCUUUGAUGUCUGAUGAAGAAGGAUACAUCUUCUUUUCCAUCUCUUCACAUAUGCCUAUUAAUUACUCUCUUCAGAGAGGCUGUUUACUGACUAUCACUCUGUUUACAAUUGAAUACAGCUAAACAUUUGGUCUUCACAAUUCCCCCUCUUCUACACCACCCACCCAGUUUCUUCCCAGUUGUUGCAAAAUAGAUGUCUCCAAAUCACUUUAUAAAAUCACAGAUGCAACAUACUUACUUUCCCACACCCACCCUCCUGCUUUCAAACACUGUAUUCUCUUCACUCAGAGAGAAGUAAAGUAAGUCUUUAUAUUGGUAUUUCUGUCUCCAGUUCUCUAAUAAAAACGCAGCAGUGAAGCUUAACAAUUUGACCUGUUGCACAUAUCCUUACCUUGUGAAUUGUGGAACACCCAGAAAGAUCUGUGAGCUUCAGAUUUCUGACCUGUGAAGAAAAAAUAUGAACUCAGUACAAAAUACAAAAGUAUGCCCACUCAAAUGGGACUACGCAUAAACUAUACAUAUGGUUUCAUGGGAUCAAGGGCCUUUGGGCGGAGGGAAUUUUAAUAGGAUGGGGUGACUAAAAAUUACUCCAGCAAACAUAUAGAAGGGAAGAAUUAUAUGGUUAUAAUACUGCAACUUAGAUCUAAGAUGAAAAUUCCUUCAGAUGUCCUUCUCAUUGUUCCAUAUGGAGCUUAAAAUAUUACAGAAUAAUGUGAAAUAAAUUGAAAACAUAUGUGGGCUAAAUUAUGGUAUUUUUUUUUUCUUCUAAUGAACAGGUUAUUGAUAAUCUUUUACCAUUUGUAUUUGUGGAAAGGAAAGAAGCAGGUACCUUAAAGAGUUUAGGAACUGAUUUAUGACAAGGUAUAUGAAGCACACCAAGUGUGGACAUGACUAGGAAAGAGUGAGAGGAAGACAGUCAGUAAGAGGGGCAUGCACGGUCCACCAGUGGAACAACCUCCAUAUCCCCAAAUCAUUUAAUCUGUGUCUUGGCAUGGCAUCCUUAUCUGUACAGUUAGAGAUGGUUACACAAGUUGCCUGUUGCUUUCUAAUUUUAGUUCCUGUUUUUAGCACCUAUUACUUUACAGAAUUUAACCAUGGGAACCAUCCUGAGAAUUUGUGUUGAAAUCUUUAAGGUUUUGCAGCAAAAAUAACCUAGCCUUUCUGAUAAUUUGAUUAAGAACUGUUGGUUUGUAUAUAUCUCUUCUUUGUUAUUAAUACUACAGAAUUUUACUGCCCAUAAAUUACUGCUUGCAAAUGAGAAUGGUAACAGUCUGUUACAGUAUGUGUUUGUAGGGUCUUGAGUCAGGAAUGUCCUUUUUCCCUGAAAAUGGCCUGUUUGACCAAACUACUGGUUCAAUAAGCUUAUGUUCAAUAUGGGCUUACUAGAUUUGGGUUGAAUGUGACUUCCCAUGUAAUUACUCCUGCCAGCCCCUAAGGUGAGUGUAAUGCUGCAUGCUGGCACUGAGAAGGACUUGCUCUCCAUUUUCCUGUCCCCACUGCUUGCUACUGCUCACUGCAGAGGAAGAGCCAACUGCUGCUUUACCUGAAUGAGGCGUGACAGAGGCAGCCUCAGCACUGGGCCUGGAAGGAACAGCAGUCAGCAUGGAUCAGGCUGGAAGUGAAGACGACCGGACCUAAAGCUGUAAGCCUGAAGGGACAAACCCUCCAAGAUCGGCAAGUGGCCAGGCAAGAAGUGGCACAGGUAUGAGGGGUAGAACUGCCUCUAACAACUGUGGAAACUAGAAGAAACCUAGUGUUGUUAAAUAUCACCAUUGCUCUUCACACUGGCAUGGUAGGCCUAUACUACAUUAACCAUUUCAUUAGGUAAGCAGCAGGGGCAUGUACCAGGAAACUGAAAGUUUGAAGCUUUCUCAUGACCAAUAUUAUUUAGAAACUAUAUUUAGAGGCAGUGAAAUCGAGCUGGUGGGGUAGGGGGACAGGACAGAGGCAAGUGAAGGUGGUAGUCAAGGAAGAGCAAUGGAAGCGUGCCGAGAACGCUCAGUUUGCACAACCUUAGAGUUAAAAAGCCAACAGCUACAGAAACAGUAGAAUUAAGCAGCGUGCAGUUUUGCUUAUUUUUCAUCCAUUAUCCUGGAUAUGUAAAAUAACUAAGCCACAAAAAUAGACAGCAAAAUACAGCAGACACAUGCUAUUUUGGGCUUCAUUCACACUUGUUUCCCUGAUACCCCCGAUGCUCCUAUAAAUGCCGUUUCUGUGUUUAUAUAUAUAUCUCUAUAUAAAAAUACUUUAUAUUAAGAGCUCUAUUGAUACGUUUUUUAUACUCCUAUAUAACAGGAUAAUGACAGGCACUAAUUUAUAUUGUGUAUAGUUACUGUACUUGAAUUUUAUGACACAUUUGCUGUUCUUGUGUGCUAGAAAAGGAAUAAGCAUUUAAAAAACUUUGUGUAUAAUUACACUUUCAGCUAUUAAUUAAUCAUAUAAACAAAUUAAAUGGACAUUUAAUUAAAUGUUACUCUUUUAAAGAUAGAAAUAGAGCCCAUGGACUUCAAAUUGAUACUGUGUGCAUUUGUUUUAAUUAGGUAGUGUUAAGAAUUAAUGGACUUUAGCUGUUAUAUUUAUAUUUAAAUACAUUAACGUUUCCAUCUUUGUAUCAUACAUAGGAUCAUUUGUGAACUCUCUUUUGCUAGGUACUAUACAAACACAAGGUGUAUCUGCAAGACUUACUUCCUUUCUUUGUCACCUUUAAAAGAAAAUAUUGUGAUACCGUCUUCAGCUUUUGCAAGCGUCCACUGACUGUUCUGAUGCUCAAUUUUUUUUGAGAUGGGUACUUUUUGUUUUAGCAAACUGAGGUUGUAGUUUAAGUGAAUGAGGCCAGUACAGUAAACAUAAAGUCCACAAAUGCCCCCAGAUGACUCAUCUGAUUUUGAAAGCAGUGUUUCACUGGUCAGAGAACAUCAUUCAAGAGUAGUCUGUAGCACCUAUUCUGGUCAUGCAGCAAACAAAAUUAAGCCAGGAAGAAGGGGAUGAGAUGCUGAUAAGGGUAUUUCUUUUUUGUGAGAUUUAUUUAAAAGCUUGUUCUAAUAUAAAAGUUGAAGGAAAAACAAACAAAAGCAAAAAGCUGAUAGGAACACAAUUUGAACAGGAGCAAGUAGCACAGGAAUAGUCUCACCAAUUUGGAAAUUAUCUGCUCUGUUCUUUGAAAUGUAGUAGAUUGGAAGUUUGGACCUAAGCAAAUGAUCAGAUAUGGAAACUAUUGGGCUAUUUGAUGUCUUUCUAAUAAACACAAAUUAUGGUUAGUGGUUGUUUCUGCUUCUGUGAUAAGUUAAUGCUUCGAGUACUGUUUAGCUCUGCUCAUUUAGGAGUGCUGGGGAGUAAAAGGCUGAGUGAUGUUCUAUUACUCAGACUUCUCAUUCUACAGCUGGAUUCUUAACUUUGUUUGGAGAACCUAUUUUUGUAAUGAUCGCUACAGUUAUUCAUGUUGAUCAAAGUUCUUUGGUCAUAUUUGAAUAUGAAACACCAAACCUCUACAUUUCCACCACUAGUAUUUCUUUUUCUUCUUUGCAGGCUGGAUAGAGGACACAAGUAAGUGCACAAUUUUAUGUCAGAAUUUCUGUGAGUGUAAGGAACCACUGAAUUUCUUUGUAUAUAAAUAAGUGACCUAGCAAACUAGAUCAAUCUGCUCUGGCAUUUCCCAAGUCUUAGCCAUUAACAUUUAGCAAAGGCAGACAGAAAAGGCCUCAGCAGACAAAUAAGAAAAUAGGGACAAAAAUCUAUGUUACGAAGUUAGCAAGAAGAUGGUGUAUAUUCAUUUUGUACAAAAGUUUUACUAUGAUGCCCAUUUACUUCCUCCUGGACUUUUUAAAGAUGUGAAUUGUUGAGUUUUCCAAAACAAAUGUAAGUUAAUACGCUAUGCAGAGCUUUGAGGGAAAGAGAAAUAGUGCAGAAUUUGCUCCAGCUAUAUGAUCUGCAUUGAUGUCUCUCAUGCUUUUCUGUAAAUCCAGGACUAACAGGAGUCUGUCUAAUGUUGACUGAAUUUUAAGCUAAUUGGAAAUUACUUUCUCAUCUGUUCAAUCACAUUUAGCAACAGUUACUUUUCUUACUGAUGUAGUUUAUAUUUCAUUCCUUUUUAAAAAAUUACUAUUUCAUUUAGAUGAUACUCUUAAAAAAAACAACAAACAAACAAAACAAAACAAAAAAGUGAAUCUCUCCUGAAAAUGAAACUGCUUUGAUGCUCUUGUUCCUCUGUUUAACUGAAAUAACCAGACUUCCAAAAUAUUUACACAGCCACUGACUUCCUGAGCCCUCCAGAAUCAGUUAUGAUCAACUUUUUGUUAAGAUUUCUAUCUGGAUUGGUAUUUGAUACCACUCUAAGAUUUGUUUUUAUUUUUUAAAUCACUUCUUCAUUAACAGUAUUAACAGACACUGUUAAUUGCCUUGGAAAGUUUGAAAAUUCAGGAUUAAGAGAAUUGAUAGGGAUUCCUUUUACAACCCAGGUGAUUUGCAGUUUUGGAGCCUUAGGCCUGAUCUGUGCAGUUUAUGUCCAAUACAAACAUUCCCAGGUGGCUGCAAUCAAACAUCUAAACCAGCUGAAGUCAUGCUGAACAUGCACAUGCAGUUGCUUGGGGUAUCACUUGAACAGGACAUUGGUGUUUUCACAAGGGGAUAAACUCUCAUGAUUUUGCUAUGGCAUCCACGUUGAUGGUGGGAUUAACCAUUCAGUAAAACAAAUGUUGCUGAAACAGUACAAAACUUCCUGCAAAUGGCACCUGACUUAUCUGCAGUUUGCCAGAGGAGACCCAGAGAGAAAAGAAAGGAGGAUUGUUGCAGUCCCUGUUAGCACCAUUUCCCCCCACUCUGCAGGCCCCAUGCUCUGCAUGUGGCACUGCUUCAGCGACGCUGCCUUGCUGCAGUGGGCAGGCAAGCAGCAGGAGGCAGGGCAGCCUCUGCAGCGGUGUGCUGGGCUGCGAGGCUCCAUCCCCAGGCUGGCGAUGCCCUGGGACCUGGGCAGCUGCACGGUGGAGCUCAGCUCUGCCUGCGCCUUGCCGUAAUCAUCUCUGUUGGGCCUACUUACAUCCCAUUCUGGAAAUGCUGCUAGGCCUUAGAACUGGGACAUGUUAUUUCUUCCUUCUACAGGACAUUCCAGUGUCAACAGGUUACCUAUACUAGAAUACAUAAGGUGUGAGUGUUACUAAUGAAAAGCAAAAGCAAACUUUACUUUCUAGUACCUAGGCUGCCUUUUAAAGAGAUCUGUGUUUUAGUUUGCCAACAUUUCCUGAUGUUAAUGGUGAAAAUGUUAGCACUUCUAUGAAGAAUCUAGAAUUGUAUUUUUAACAGUUUUUACCUAGUGCUGGGUAAAGAAAGAUGGAGUCCAUUUUAAGACCUUCCCCGAUGUUUUUUUACAGUUUACAGGAGAACUUACCCGCUGUAUUUCAGAUGCUCAGAGAUUCUUAGCAUAAUCUUAUCUACUUAAGGGUAUCCCAACAUGCACCUCUUCCAGUCAAAAAGGGGAGCAAAUAAUAAAAUGCAGAAAAAGAAGGAAAUGUAAAAAGAGGAAUGAAUGAUCAGUGAUCAGAAAAUAUAUGCAAACAAGAUAGCAGAAGUGCGGUGAAGAAAAGAAAGAAAUGAAAAAUGCCAUUUUUCCUCUCCGAAAAUGUGAGACUUGAAAGACUCACUCAAAAAUAAGAGAACAGGAGUGAUGAUGAAUACUCAAAAAGGCUCUAUUUAGAAUUACUACUGGAGUAAUUUAGAAUUUAAGAUUCUAAAUUGAGCUGGGGAGGGCACCAAGGCGCCUCCUCAACAGCUACUAAUAAAGGUUAACAACCGAAGGCCACUUACCUGGCUGGGCCUCAUCUCCUGUAUUUGCCUAGACCACCUUAGGGAUGUGCCUGCGAUAGAAAUUCUGACUUAUUAGAAAGCCUUACCGCUGUAACUACGCUGACAAGCCUUUUACAAUCUGAACUAGAACAUAACAAACAUCGCAGAGAAAGGACGCUACCAAGCAUGGGAAAUGAGGCAGUACACAGUCGCCAUGUGGACUGGCAAACACCACAUUCAGUUAAACACCGUAAGUUAUAUAUAUGGCAUUUCUAUUUGCCUUUUUGUCUGAUGAGUUUUUCCCAGGGAUAUUUACUUUAGAGGAGAGUUAAAGAAAAACGAGGAUUCUACAGAACUGGAGUUGCUUUUUACUUGAAUUUUGUAGCUUAAACAGUUGUUAAUUAGAAGUUGCAUGAAGAUUUCACUGUCUGAUUUUGUAUGCUUUGACCAUUGUACACUUCUGUUUUCUUUCAUUUGCACUAGGAGGAAGGAAAAAUGGUAGGAAAUACGAUCAUUUUAAUUUCAAGAUUAAGCCACAGACAUUUUUCAUGUCAUCUGCACAGGUGCAUGAAACAAUUCAGAAGCAACUCAGCACUGUGAACUUCAGUGUACAAAGCAGGCUUAGAUCUUAGAAAUCCAUCUUAAGGACAGGCAAAGUAAAGGAGCAAGACACAGCAGUAGGCACGCACCUACAGGAGCGGCUUCUGCCCUGUUUGCUAUCUGCCUGUGCAAUUCCUUUUGUGAACAGUGCAGGUUAGGUGCUGCUCCUCCUCAGCUCAGUGGGAAUUUCUGCAUUGGCUUCAAGGAGAACAGCAAGACCACUUCUCACACCUGCCACUCACACUGUGUGCUCUGAAAAUGUAUGUUAGGUUUUAUUUGGAUAAAGGCAGAUGAUGCUUUGCCAGUGUUUUUCAAGCAGCACAUUACCUAUGAGGAGAGAGAAAUUUAAAAAACUCACUGAUUUACCAUGUUAAAAAAAGAUGGCACAUUUAUUGCUACAUAAAUGUUAUAUACAUAGUGUUUUCUGUUACAUUGACAGAAAUUUUUUGAACUUCUUGCUGCUGGUUGGAAAGGUUUAUCAGCAAUACCUUGAAAUUUGACACAGGGUACAAAUCUGCAAUAAACCAACAAUGGAAACUGGAGAACAAGAUGAGAAGCAAUUCAUCUCGGACAAUUAGCUCUUACAAUACUCCAUAGGUACUACACGGUAUGCUAGAACCCUACUAUGGUCUUACAAUGCUAUUGUAAAUUUCUGAUAUUAAUGAACAGGUUAUGGUAAAUAACCCUACAUUUUUACUACCUAAUAUAGUAAAAUAAAGUAAGAAACUUUUUACUGAAAACUUUUUCGAUUUCAAAAAUCUAGAAAGAGUAAUAUUUAGAAUUCAAGAAAUUUUCUUACAAGAUUAUUGUAUAAAAGACUAGCUACAGUGAAAAAUAAGCCAAAUGUUUUUUUCUUUCUAUUUUAUGAAGGAAAGCUUCUGGGCAUACUGCAAAGUCUAAUAUAGCCAAAAAGACAACAAGCUUAGAAGGAAAAAGGCCAGGCAGUGGCACGUGAUCACUUUCACACGUCAUAAGCAACAAAUUUGUUUAGCUGAUAAACACUGAAAUGAAGAACAAGGCCACAGAUAUAAUCAGGUGUUAUCGAUGGUAUAUGCAAAUUAAAGUAAUAGAAAUGAGUCCACUAAUUUCACAAACUGUUUUGUUAGGAACCAUCCAAAACAUGAGCUUAAAUUCAUUAGUUUAUUUUAACAAUCCAGCUUUUGUUCUUUCAAAUUAAAUGACUUGAUAAAAAUUAUUGUUUUGUUCCUGGUUUGUGUGUGAACCAAUUGCCAGUGAUGAAAGAUGCACUAUAUAACAAUAGCUCAGACAACCUUGGCUUAGGAAAUUUCCUCCCAUGGUCAUUGCAGUGGAAGACAGUUUCCAUGGAAGUUCAAAGGGAUUUUAACCAUUUCAACACAUUUGUGACAAAGGAAUACUUAUGGACACUGUUCUGGUGGAUUAACAUUUUAAUGCUAAUAUGGCUUGGGAGGGGUCAUUUGUUUGCACUUGAUUCACAUGGAUUUUUUUCUCCACUGACAAGCCAUACAAAAAUGACAAGAUAAUUGAUGUAUACAGUAAGGAAAAGUUGGUGACCAUUGCUCUUAUAUUCCAUUAGUUAAAUAAGCCCACCUUACUGGUGGUUAUAUCAUCACACUACCUGCCACGGUGAAUUUAGGAUUUUACUAUUCACCAAAAUUGCAGCCUGAAAAAAAUCUCCUUUGUAUUUUAAUGCAUUUUGUGCUUACGUACAGCUAACACUUUACAUGUACUAUAUGUAGUACUUACUGCUCGGAAAACAAAGCAACUCUAACAAAGUAGAUUCUCCCCACCCAAUUUACACUUCACGUUACAAGCUUUACUAUGAAGCCUAGAAGCCUAAAAA